Molecule: transfer RNA, 86 nt
Filed under: Streptomyces griseoviridis
Lineage: Bacteria; Bacillati; Actinomycetota; Actinomycetes; Kitasatosporales; Streptomycetaceae
Also listed under: 1 other name
Description: tRNA-Gly
Source: RNAcentral
CGUCGGACAGCACGGCGAGGCAGCUGCCGUCGCCGGCGGCCGUGACGAAGAGGAAGGCGUCGUCGAGUUCGACGACCGUCUGGCGG